Sapajus apella (tufted capuchin) is the source of this 723-nucleotide long non-coding RNA. RefSeq lists it as uncharacterized. Lineage: Eukaryota; Metazoa; Chordata; Mammalia; Primates; Cebidae. The transcript has 2 exons. The record is from RefSeq and is a predicted model, not a curated record.
UUCCACCUCCAGCUGUGGGGCUCAUCCCAGAGACUAGGACAGAGCAGAGGAGGGCUUCAUAAUGAUGGGUCCCCAGGCCUGGGGCCUUGAGUGAGGCUGGGACCAAGGCAGCCUGUGGCACCGCCCCCCUCAUCCAGUUCCUGGGCAGCCACCAUUGCGCUUGUCCGUGUGUCCCGGUAGGAACACUUGGCAAGGAAGUGUUGGAAGGAGACUCACUACAAGGCAGGCUCACCGGCUGUGUGAUAUGGCCAGAUGAAGGAAGGAAAGCGCGUCUGCCUGGAGUGUGGAAUGAACCUACAGGGUGAUCAUUACCCUUAUCAGUGCUGCCGUCACCGUUGCCGCAUGUGAGACACCCCCUCCUCCCCAAGGCCAGUGAUUGCGCCAGAGUUCCUGCGCGCUGGCAAGCAGGUGCUCCGAGCUUCCCCGCGUCACCCGCAGCCAGGGCGCCCCCCGCGACGCCGCCAUUCAUUCCUCCUACACUGCGAGAGCAGCGCUGGCCUCCAGAGCCGGAGGAGCCGCUGGGCGCGGCGGGAGCUUCGAAUCCACAUUUCUGCCCCAGCCGCCGGGCUAGGGUUGGUGGGAGGCGGGGUGGGGGUGUCUGCCCUGGUGUGUGCCGCGUCGGCCCAGUUACUAUAGAUCCCUUCUAGGAGAGACUGAAACACCCAGGUUCAGGAGACAGAGACACUGUGGCACAUGGAUACAGGAGCCAGGAACGGAGACAGA